Molecule: ribosomal RNA, 565 nt
Filed under: uncultured archaeon
Lineage: Archaea
Description: bacterial SSU rRNA
Rfam family: Archaeal small subunit ribosomal RNA
Source: RNAcentral
CGGGGUGCACCAGGCGCGAAACCUCUGCAAUAGGCGAAAGCCUGACAGGGUUACUCUGAGUGAUUCCCGCUAAGGGGAUCUUUUGGCACCUCUAAAAAUGGUGCAGAAUAAGGGGUGGGCAAGCCUGGUGUCAGCCGCCGCGGUAAUACCAGCACCCCGAGUGGUCGGGACGAUUAUUGGGCCUAAAGCAUCCGUAGCCGGCCACGCAAGUCCUCCGUUAAAUCCACCCGCUCAACGGUUGGGCUGCGGAGGAUACUACGUGGCUAGGAGGCGGGAGAGGCAAGCGGUACUCAAUGGGUAGGGGUAAAAUCCUUUGAUCCAUUGAAGACCACCAGUGGCGAAGGCGGCUUGCCAGAACGCGCUCGACGGUGAGGGAUGAAAGCUGGGGGAGCAAACCGGAUUAGAUACCCGGGUAGUCCCAGCUGUAAACGAUGCAGACUCGGUGAUGGGAUAGCCUCGAGCCAUCCCAGUGCCGCAGGGAAGCCGUUAAGUCUGCCGCCUGGGGAGUACGGUCGCAAGACUGAAACUUAAAGGAAUUGGCGGGGAGCACAAGGGCGAUUCGCGG